RNAcentral lists this ribosomal RNA (637 nucleotides) under uncultured organism. Its description in RNAcentral is "bacterial SSU rRNA". It matches the Rfam family "Bacterial small subunit ribosomal RNA", at positions 776 to 1416 of the family's 1533-position model. The record is from RNAcentral.
GAUUAGAUACCAUGGUAGUCCACACUGUAAACGAUGUGCACUGGGCAUUAGGUCUGUUAGAGAGCCUCGGUUCCGUAGUUGACGCGUUAAGUGCACCGCCUGGGGAGUAUGACCGCAAGGGUGAGACUCAAAGGAAUUGACGGGGGCCCGCACUAACGCUGGAGCAUGUGCAUUAAUUCGAUGAUACGCGAGAAACCUUACCAGGGCUUGACAUGUGCACGGAUGUAUCAGAGAUGAGGCAGCCUAUUUGAGUCGGGCACACAGGUACUGCAUGACUGUCGUCAGCUCGUUCCGUGAGUUGUUGGGUUAAGUCCCGCAACAAGCGCAACCCCUACCGUCAUGUUGCUUACAGGUUAACAUGAGGACUCGGACGGAACUUCCAGGUGACAAACCGGACCCAGGUGGGGACGACGUCAAGUCAUCAUGGCCCUUAUGUCCUGGGCUACACACAGGCUACAAUGCCCGGUACAAAGCGUAGCGAAGCGGUGACGCAGACCCAAUCGCAUAAAGCCGGUCACAGUUCGGAUUGGAGUCUGAACCCGACUCCAUGAAGAUGGCUCGAUAGUGAUCGCGCAUCAGCCGCCACCCGAAUACGUCCCGGACUGUACACACGCCCGUCACACCACCCGACAUGGGG